This 846-nucleotide long non-coding RNA is filed under the name Sus scrofa (pig). Its description in RNAcentral is "lncRNA (ENSSSCG00030064249.1)". Lineage: Eukaryota; Metazoa; Chordata; Mammalia; Artiodactyla; Suidae. The record is from RNAcentral.
AUGGGCAAAUGAGUGGAAACGUUAUUAUCCCUUGUCCAGAGGAAACUGGGCAGUACCAGAAGCACCACCUGUGGCACCCGGAGCUGCUCAGAGGAAGGUCUGAAAAUCACAAACCUCAGACUAACCCCUUCAUUUGAGAAACUGGGGCCCAGAGGGCUGAAGUGACUUUUGCAGUGUCAUGAAAUUGUCAACCAAAGGACUGAAUCCCAGCGCACUGUGCUUUCAGCUGUUUUAUCCUAUAUUCCUGAAGGAUAAGUUCUAUAGAAUAGAUUAGCUCCUAUCAGUGGGUAGCCCUCUAGGGAGAGAACUGUCAGAGGGUUUUGUUCACACCUUGUUUCAAAUGCUGCUGCUCCUUCAGGACUGUGGACACGGAGACCUGCUUCCUAAGACUUCCCUCCCCACUUGGCAAUCAUCUUGAAUUUGUAUUAGAAGUAAGGAAAUGGGACUGCUUUCUCCAAAUAUUUAUAAUGACUUUAUUGCUCUGAAUUGCCACACAUCAGAGAGAACUUUUAACCAUUAGGGGUCUUGACUUCCUAUUUGUGAAAAGUGGAGUGACUCUGAUCAAGAAGGCUCAACUCCUUUUGGUUGGAGAUCACAGGAAUGGCAUCAUGUCAUGAUGGCCAUAGGGGAGCCACACCAGCUGUACUGUCCCCAGUGGAAAGAGCCAGGACCCAGGACCCAGGGCAGGCAGUGACAGUUUCCCAGAGAGCCGACUCCCCUUCUCUGGGCUGGAUGAGCAGGAGAGACAGAGACACCUGGCCCUCCCGGAACAGAGUGAAGCUGACAAGGGACGAUGAAUGGAAAAGAUACAAAGUGAAAAGUUGAGUCACAUGGAGGGGAUCCUCU